Molecule: long non-coding RNA, 620 nt
Filed under: Brachypodium distachyon (stiff brome)
Lineage: Eukaryota; Viridiplantae; Streptophyta; Magnoliopsida; Poales; Poaceae
Description: long non-coding RNA (BDIS_LNC005124)
Source: RNAcentral
GCAACUAUAAUCCAUAACCGCAACCACUCCUCGGUAGUCGGCACGCGGAAGGCAGAACUAAUCGAGAGCUUGAAGGCCCUUGCCCACGGCCACCCUCCGCCGCGUUGGAGGGAGGAAACCAGUGGGCGUGCGGGGAGCCUGGCAGGAACCGGCAAAGGUACGGCGAGACUCGAUCAGUUCUGCAAACCUCCAAACCGAAUACUCCGUACUUGCUUUUGUGUGCAGUUUGAAUUCGAUCCCCUACUAUAUGCUCUCGUAUGUGCUGGGCGGGUGUGGAGGAACACUGGACUACUUCAAUUUGGUAUGGUGGAAGUAAUGGGGAUUUACGAAUAGUGCGGCCAUGGUGUUCGUUAGAAUGCACGUACAUUUUUCCAGCUAGUUAAAAGAAGUUCCUCCUGCACCUGUACUGUAAUCUAAAGUAUUUUAAGAACACAAUGUCAGAUUACGGCGCAUAUAGCCUAGUUCACAGUGAACUUUGAUUUUUUUUCCCGGGAAAAGUACAAGGUUAGCUCUUCAACGGCUGAGUGAGCGAUACCUGAGGCUGAAUCCCAAGUUACUUCAGCCAGGCUUCCCCGGCAGUUGGUUGUUGAUCUUUGAGCUUGAAAGGUGAACUUUGCUCA